Molecule: ribosomal RNA, 1459 nt
Filed under: uncultured bacterium
Lineage: Bacteria
Description: bacterial SSU rRNA
Rfam family: Bacterial small subunit ribosomal RNA
Source: RNAcentral
AGAGUUUGAUCCUGGCUCAGGAUAAACGCUGGCGGCGUGCCUAACACAUGCAAGUCGAACGAAGAGGCUCCCUUCGGGGAGCACUUCAGUGGCGUACUGGUGAGUAACACGUAGGUGACCUGCCCCGAAGCAGGGAAUAACGGCUCGAAAGGGCCGCUAAUACCCAAAAGGAUCGCGAAUCAAAUCGCGCUCAGAGCUACGGCGUUUCGGGAGGGGCCUGCGGCCCAUCAGCUAGUUGGUAGGGUAAUGGCCUACCAAGGCGACGACGGGUAGGGGGCCUGAGAAGGUGGUCCCCCACACUGGCACUGACACACGGGCCAGACUCCUACGGGAGGCAGCAGUGAGGAAUAUUGCACAAUGGGCGAAAGCCUGAUGCAGCAACGCCGCGUGGGUGAUGAAGGCCUUCGGGUCGUAAAACCCUUUUCUGGGGAAAGAGAGAGGACGGUACCCCAGGAAUAAGGUUCGGCUAACUACGUGCCAGCAGCCGCGGUAAAACGUAGGAACCGAGCGUUAUCCGGAUUCAUUGGGCGUAAAGCGCCUGCAGGCGGUCUUGUAAGUUGGACGUGAAAUCUCUCGGCUCAACUGGGAGGUGCCGUUCAAUACUGCAGGACUUGAGGGCAGAAGAGGGAAGCGGAAUUCCCGGUGUAGUGGUGAAAUGCGUAGAUAUCGGGAGGAACACCAGUGGCGAAGGCGGCUUCCUGGUCUGCACCUGACGCUAAGAGGCGAAAGCUAGGGUAGCGAACGGGAUUAGAAACCCCGGUAGUCCUAGCCGUAAACGAUGGACGCUAGGUGUAGGUGGUCCUAACCCCAUCUGUGCCGAAGCUAACGCGUUAAGCGUCCCGCCUGGGGACUACGACCGCAAGGUUAAAACUCAAAGGAAUUGACGGGGCCCCGCACAAGCAGCGGAGCGUGUGGUUUAAUUCGAUGCUACACGAAGAACCUUACCCAGGUUUGACAUGCAAGUAGUAGUGAAACGAAAGUGGAACGACCCCUCGGGGAGCUUGCACAGGUGCUGCAUGGCUGUCGUCAGCUCGUGCCGUGAGGUGUUGGGUUAAGUCCCCUAACGAGCGCAACCCUCGCCGUCAGUUACAAGUAUCCGACGGGACUGCCGGCCUCAAGCCGGAGGAAGGUGGGGAUGAUGUCAAGUCAGCAUGGCCUUUAUGCCUGGGGCUACACACACGCUACAAUGGCCGGUACAAUGGGUUGCCAACCCGCGAGGGGGAGCCAAUCCCACAAAGCCGGUCUCAGUUCGGAUUGGAGGCUGCAACCCGCCUCCAUGAAGCUGGAGUUGCUAGUAAACGCGCGUCAGCCAUAGUGCGUUGAAUACGUUCCCGGGGCUUGUACACACCGCCCGUCACGUCAUGGAAGCUGGCAACACCUGAAGCCGGUGAGCUAACCGCAAGGAGGCAGCCGUCGAGGGUGGGGCUGGUGACUGGGACGAAGUCGUAACAAGGUAACC